This 408-nucleotide ribosomal RNA is filed under the name uncultured bacterium. RNAcentral describes it as "partial 16S ribosomal RNA". It matches the Rfam family "Bacterial small subunit ribosomal RNA", at positions 28 to 526 of the family's 1533-position model. The record is from RNAcentral.
GACGAACGCUGGCGGCGUGCUUAACACAUGCAAGUCGAACGAAGUGGCGAACGGGUGAGUAACGCGUAAUCAACCUGCCCUUCAGGGGGGGAUAACAGUUGGAAACGACUGCUAAUCCCGCAUACUGAAGGAGGGGAUUGCGUCGGAUUAGCUAGUUGGAGGGGUCACGGCCCACCAAGGCGAUGAUCAGUAGGCGGUCUGAGAGGAUGAACGGCCACAUUGGGACUGAGACACGGCCCAGACUCCUUCGGGAGGGAGCAGUGGGGGAUCUUCCGCAAUGGACGAAAGUCUGACGGAGCAACGCCGCGUGAGUGAUGACGGCCUUCGGGUUGUAAAGCUCUGUUAAUCGGGACGCGGUACCGGAAUAGAAAGCCACGGCUAACUACGUGCCAGCAGCCGCGGUAAUAC